AUGAGCACAUGCAAUGCGAGCAACCAAACACGAUGCAUAGGGGCGUCGCUACGAUGUAGGGAGAGGACAUGCAAGCAACCAAUCAACAUGCAGAUGUUAGUUUUUGCUGCAUAUGCUCAAUCAGGCCCAACUAGAACAAGUAAGCCCAACUGGGACAAGUAUGCAAAUGGGCAAAAAAAUGUGCAGGUAACCAAACACGCCGCUAGCUGCGCAUCCAUGUACUCCCUCCGUCCCAAAAUACUUGUCAAAGAAAUGGAUGUAUCUAGACAUAUUUUAGUUCUACAUACUUCCAUUUUUAUCAAUUUCUUCGACAAGUAUUUCCGGACGGAGGGAGUACUAUGUUAA
Molecule: ribosomal RNA, 345 nt
Filed under: Triticum aestivum (bread wheat)
Lineage: Eukaryota; Viridiplantae; Streptophyta; Magnoliopsida; Poales; Poaceae
Description: partial small subunit ribosomal RNA
Rfam family: MIR1120/MIR1122 microRNA precursor family (bases 216-340)
Source: RNAcentral